RNAcentral lists this ribosomal RNA (1337 nucleotides) under metagenome. RNAcentral's name for it is "bacterial SSU rRNA". It matches the Rfam family "Bacterial small subunit ribosomal RNA", at positions 167 to 1498 of the family's 1533-position model. The record is from RNAcentral.
UACCGCAUAUUCUGUGAGCAGGAAAGCAGGGGACCGCAAGGCCUUGCGCUCUUUGAGCGGCCGAUGUCAGAUUAGCUAGUUGGUGAGGUAAAGGCUUACCAAGGCGACGAUCUGUAGCGGGUCUGAGAGGAUGAUCCGCCACACUGGAACUGAGACACGGUCCAGACUCCUACGGGAGGCAGCAGUGGGGAAUUUUGGACAAUGGGGGCAACCCUGAUCCAGCCAUGCCGCGUGAGUGAAGAAGGCCUUCGGGUUGUAAAGCUCUUUCGGCCGGGAAGAAAUCGCAUGGGCCAAUACCCUGUGUGGAUGACGGUACCGGAAUAAGAAGCACCGGCUAACUACGUGCCAGCAGCCGCGGUAAUACGUAGGGUGCGAGCGUUAAUCGGAAUUACUGGGCGUAAAGCGUGCGCAGGCGGUUUUGUAAGACAGGCGUGAAAUCCCCGGGCUUAACCUGGGAACUGCGUUUGUGACUGCAAGGCUAGAGUACGGCAGAGGGGGGUGGAAUUCCACGUGUAGCAGUGAAAUGCGUAGAGAUGUGGAGGAACACCAAUGGCGAAGGCAGCCCCCUGGGUCGAUACUGACGCUCAUGCACGAAAGCGUGGGUAGCAAACAGGAUUAGAUACCCUGGUAGUCCACGCCCUAAACUAUGUCAACUAGGUGUUGGGUGGGUAAAACCAUUUAGUACCGUAGCUAACGCGUGAAGUUGACCGCCUGGGGAGUACGGCCGCAAGGUUAAAACUCAAAGGAAUUGACGGGGACCCGCACAAGCGGUGGGUGAUGUGGAUUAAUUCGAUGCAACGCGAAAACCCUUACCUACCCUUGACAUGCCAGGAACUUGCCAGAGAUGGCUUGGUGCCCGAAAGGGAGCCUGGACACAGGUGCUGCAUGGCUGUCGUCAGCUCGUGUCGUGAGAUGUUGGGUUAAGUCCCGCAACGAGCGCAACCCUUGUCGUUAAUUGCCAUCAUUUAGUUGGGCACUUUAACGAGACUGCCGGUGACAAACCGGAGGAAGGUGGGGAUGACGUCAAGUCCUCAUGGCCCUUAUGGGUAGGGCUUCACACGUCAUACAAUGGUCGGUACAAAGGGUUGCCAAGCCGCGAGGCGGAGCCAAUCCCAGAAAGCCGAUCGUAGUCCGGAUUGCAGGCUGCAACUCGCCUGCAUGAAGUCGGAAUCGCUAGUAAUCGUGGAUCAGCAUGUCACGGUGAAUACGUUCCCGGGUCUUGUACACACCGCCCGUCACACCAUGGGAGCGGGUUCCGCCAGAAGUAGGUAGCCUAACCGCAAGGGGGGCGCUUACCACGGCGGGGUUCGUGACUGGGGUGAAGUCGUAACAAGGUA